Molecule: unclassified non-coding RNA, 332 nt
Filed under: soil metagenome
Description: partial contains 5.8S ribosomal RNA, internal transcribed spacer 2, and large subunit ribosomal RNA
Rfam family: 5.8S ribosomal RNA (bases 1-120)
Source: RNAcentral
GAUGAAGAACGCAGCGAAAUGCGAUAAGUAGUGUGAAUUGCAGAAUUCAGUGAAUCAUCGAAUCUUUGAACGCACAUUGCGCCUGCUAGUAUUCUGGAGGGCAUGCCUGUUCGAGCGUCAUUUCAACCAUCAAGCCCUAGGCUUGCGUUGGAGCCCUGCGGCUGCCGCAGGCUCCCAAAUCCAGUGGCGGGCUCGUCGUCGUACCGAGUGCAGUAAACAUCCUCGCUCAGGGAACGUGACGGGUUCUUGCCGUGAAACCCCCCACAUAUCAAGGUUGACCUCGGAUCAGGUAGGAAUACCCGCUGAACUUAAGCAUAUCAAUAAGCGGAGGA